Long non-coding RNA from Seriola aureovittata, 975 nucleotides. RefSeq lists it as uncharacterized. The record is from RefSeq and is a predicted model, not a curated record. Lineage: Eukaryota; Metazoa; Chordata; Actinopteri; Carangiformes; Carangidae. The transcript is spliced from 5 exons.
CUAAAUAUAUAUAGCAUUUUUUAUGAUUUCUUUGAAAACAGGUGAAACAGCGCCCCUCUGGGUCUGUGUGGUCAAAAGGGGGCGUUACACCCACAUUAACCGAAGUGACGCCAGGUGAAAGUUCAUGUCACUUAAUUGAAAAGCAAUUAAGCGUCAAACGGUGAAAAACGACCGUUACAGCGCUGAGAAACUGUGACACGUCGCUCUGAAGUGAAACCUGUCGAGAAACCACAGGAGAAACAAAGGAAAGCCACCAAACAAAAGAAACCCAGCAGAGACAGAGACAGAGAGAGGAGAGGAGCACCUGCUAACAAACAGGUGGACAUUAAACAUGAGGGACACUUCGUCUUCAUGAGAGACAGGAGAGAGGACUUAUACUUCAAAUAUCCGUCGCACGUUUCGGCAAGACCAACAAACAAAAGUCACUGACGUCACCAGGUGAUUACGCGUCAACACAGCUGUAAAAUCUGCUAUUUUAAGAGCCGGUCGUUGUCCGGAGGAUUCACAGCGAGCGAGCGAGCGAGCGAGUGAGCGUGUUGCUCUACCCAGGCGCCCAAACUAAAUGAAGUCCUUCCAGCAGCCUCGUCCUCGUCAGUGUAAAAGUGGCGGAGGGAGAGAGUGGAAAACAAUGUUGUCAAGCGAGAGAGAGGAAGAAAGAGAACGGCAGAGAGUCAAAGAAGAAGAAUGAUUGAGGAAGCGAGCCUGAAAGAGAAAGAGAAGAGGAGGAGGAGGAGAGUCUUCUCAGAAGGCUAAAAGGAUUAGUCCUCUCAUCUCUCCUGGAUCACAAUGUUUCCUGGGCUAUGUUUGAUGAGCGAUUGUGUGUGUGUGUGUGUGUGUGUUGUUGUGUGCGUGCGUGUGUGUGUGUGCAUGAGGGAGAGAGAGAGAGAGAGAGAGAGAGGGAGAGAGAGUGAGAUGUUUGCUCUGAUAUUGACGCUGCCUCAUCCUGAUCCUAUUACACGGCAAUAAACAUCAGCU